This 253-nucleotide ribosomal RNA is filed under the name uncultured bacterium. RNAcentral's name for it is "partial 16S ribosomal RNA". It matches the Rfam family "Bacterial small subunit ribosomal RNA", at positions 524 to 776 of the family's 1533-position model. The record is from RNAcentral.
UACGUAGGGGGCAAGCGUUGUCCGGAUUCAUUGGGCGUAAAGAGCGUGUAGGCGGCCAGGUAGGUCGGUUGUGAAAACUGGAGGCUCAACCUUCAGAGGUCGACCGAAACCAUCUGGCUAGAGUCCGGGAGAGGAGAGUGGAAUUCCACGUGUAGCGGUGAAAUGCGUAGAGAUGUGGAGGAACACCAGUGGCGAAGGCGACUCUUUGGCCUGUAACUGACACUGAGGCGCGAAAGCGUGGGGAGCAAACAGG